RNAcentral lists this long non-coding RNA (1110 nucleotides) under Canis lupus familiaris (dog). Its description in RNAcentral is "lncRNA (ENSCAFG00845014399.1)". The record is from RNAcentral. Lineage: Eukaryota; Metazoa; Chordata; Mammalia; Carnivora; Canidae.
AUGAGAGAGACACACACACACACAGAGAGGCAGAGACACAGGCAGAGGAAGAAGCGGGCUGCCUGCAGGGAGCCCGACGCGGGACUCGAUCCCACGACCCCGGGGUCACGCCCUGAGCGGAAGGCAGACGCUCAACCGCUGAGCCUCCCAGGCGUCCCUAGUGAAGCUUCUCUGAGCCUGUCUUUUUCGUCUGCGAAAUGGUCCUGGCAAACCCAGCACUUGGCUCAAGACCCGGCUGUAAGAAAUUCCUCAAGAGACAGCAGCUAUCGCCAUGGGUUACACAGACGGGAAAACGAAGACGGAGGGGAAGGGCUUCUCCCACAGGCUGUGCUGGCCUCACACCUCCACGAAAGGAGGACCUCGAGCAGUGGAGGCCCGUCGGAGCUGCGGCGGGGCCCAAGGGCCUCCAGCCUCCCCGGCCCCGGGAGCUGGGGCCGCCUGGGCUGGGCCGGUGCGAGGAAACAGGGACUGAGGCCGCGGCCCCCGCCCCUCCGCCCCAGUCCCCGACCCCAGGAGGCCGGGCUCUCCGAAGUCCAGCCGCCCCUCGGGAGGGCCGCGCCCCCCGAGUCCCUCCCCAGCUCAGCCUCCGCCCCCGACGGUCCGCGCCCCCUUCUCACGACCCGCCCCCAACGGCGCCACCGCUCGGGCUCCCGGGGCGGCGGCGAUACGUACCCCCGGGCCCACGCUCUGGGAGAAGGAGUGCACGACGCCGCCAGGUCGCACGUCAAACGCCACGGUCGUGGGCUCGGACACCGCCCGCGCCGGCCUCAACGCCACGGCCGCCAGCAGCAACGCAGCCCACAAGCUCGCGCUCCCGCCGUCCCUCCUUGCGCUGGGCGCCGCCAUCUUGGGAACGCUCCGCAGGGCCGGGGCGGCGACGGGACGCGGCGAGGGACACGUGGGGCGUCCGCUAGAGGCCACGUCGGCGGCGCCAGGCCACGUGACCUGGCGCGCCCCGCCUCCUCCACGGCUGGGCCGCCAUGUUGGGGCGGGGCCUGGACUUUCAGGGAGGGGCCCUGGGCCUUAUUCUGUGUUUCACACUGCAUGGUUCUGUUGAUGUCUCUCCCAUUACCUCACCUGCUGUGUUUGACCUUCAGUCCAUCACUAUGA